Molecule: ribosomal RNA, 1074 nt
Filed under: Triticum aestivum (bread wheat)
Lineage: Eukaryota; Viridiplantae; Streptophyta; Magnoliopsida; Poales; Poaceae
Description: partial small subunit ribosomal RNA
Source: RNAcentral
AUGGCGGAGGCGGGAAAGCCGAGGGUGGUGGUGGUAGGCGGCGGCAUCGGCGGCGCCCUGCUCGCCAAGACCAUGGAGCCCGACGCCGACGUCGUCCUCCUCGACCCGAAGGACUACCUGGAGGUCACCUGGGCUGAAUUGAGAUCAACGGUUGAACCAUCUUUUGCUGAGAGAUCAUUAAUAUAUCACAGAGAUUACCUCACCACUGCUACUAUUGUAACAUCUUCUGCAGUUAAUAUCACUGAGCAUGCUGUUCUGACUGCUGAUGGUCAAUCACUUGCAUAUGAUUAUCUCGUUGUAGCUACUGGCCAUGUUUUUGCUUCUGCUGGAAGCAGAACAGAGAGGCUUACGGAAUUCCAGAGAGAUAACGAGAAGAUAAAAUCUUCUGAGUCCGUGUUGAUAAUUGGAGGUGGUCCAACUGGUGUUGAACUUGCUGCAGAGAUCGCAGUAGACUAUCCAGAGAAGAAGGUGACACUUGUUCACAGAGGAUCACGAUUACUUGAUUUCAUUGAUCAAAAGGCUUCGAAGAAGUGCCUUGAUUGGCUGACUUCCAAGAAAGUGGAUGUGCUUUUCCAGCAAUCAGUUGACCUAAAAUCAUUAUCAGACACAGAGAAGUUCUACAAAACAUCAGCUGGAGAAACAAUAACAGCUGAUUGCCACUUUGUGUGUAUUGGUAAGCCACUGAGUUCAUCGUGGCUACAUGAUACCAUCCUGAAGGAAUCUUUGGACACCAAAGGAAGAGUAAUGGUGGAAAAGGACCUAAGAGUGAAGGGUUACAAUAACAUUUUUGCAAUUGGUGACAUCACCGAUAUUCCUGAAAUCAAACAAGGGUACCUCGCCCAGAAGCACGCGCUGCUGGUAGCCAAGAACCUGAAGCUACUGAUCAAGGGGUCGCCUCCGAGCAAGCUCGCCACCUACAGCACCGGCUUCCCGCUGGCGAUCGUCUCCCUCGGAAGGAAGGACGGACUGGCACAGCUACCCUACCUGACGCUCACCGGGUGCAUACCGGGGAUGCUCAAAUCCAAGGACCUGUUCGUCGGCAAGACGAGGAAGCAGAUGGGCCUGAGUGCUUGA